UUCCGAACUAUUGUCGUAAGACAUUGCAGCCAAGCUGGUAUCCCAGAUCGUUACACCCCCAAACAACGUAGAAUUAGCUUUGUAGUUAAGAAGAUCACGAGUUAAAUUCUUUGGGCUGAUGAAGCCGUUGGAUCCAUUUUGAUGACCAACAACGCCAUAAAAAAGACUAGUAUUGGUAUUAUAAGCACUGUCUUCUGCAUACUCAACCCAUGCAUCAAAAGUGCUAUUACGACUUCCACUGCAUCCCUCGCCAGUUGAUGAGUUAAAAGUGUGGAUGGAAAGGAAAUCGAAUGAGUUCUCAGAAAUCGCCUUUGUAAGAGUAUGAUCAGGAACCAUGCAAGUAGGAGCAGCAGAGAUAUAAUAUUUACGUCUUGGAUCGGAUGCAUAUAUCUCAAGCAUACGCUUUGCAAAUGCAGAAUAGGCGGUGUUAGUACCUUUGUUCACUUCUAAGUCAAAACCGUCUACAACGGCUUUACCGAAUGGCCGGUAUGAAUCCUCACCACUUCCGAAAAUGUUCCAAACUUGAAAAGCAAAGUUUGUCCCAUCAUCAUCAUUAUUUAAUGAAAAAUUUCCAUUGUACCCACCGAUUGAAAGUAGCACUUUGAUACCAUUUUCUUGGCACACUUGAAUAUCGGUUUCUAUUUGAGGGCACUUUUUCAGUUCGCUACCACUGAAGGUGUCACUGUCAGAACACAAAUUGGAAAAAUCGUAAACGGGCCAGCCGUCAACGUUGAAAUCAAUGACAGAAGAAAGAAUUAUAGCAUCAUAGGUGGUGUUUUGACAAUAACUCGAUAGUCUUUUUUGAUCUCUAUCACCCAUUUUCCCUGCCAAGUUGGAACCCCAGUAUCCGAGUACCGCAGUUUGGUUAGUGAGGUUUAAGCUUA
Non-coding RNA from Schizosaccharomyces pombe (fission yeast), 884 nucleotides. Lineage: Eukaryota; Fungi; Ascomycota; Schizosaccharomycetes; Schizosaccharomycetales; Schizosaccharomycetaceae. The record is from the annotation of a GenBank genome assembly.